GAUGAACGCUGGCGGCGUGCCUAAUGCAUGCAAGUCGAGCGAACAGACGAGGAGCUUGCUCCUCUGACGUUAGCGGCGGACGGGUGAGUAACACGUGGAUAACCUACCUAUAAGACUGGGAUAACUUCGGGAAACCGGAGCUAAUACCGGAUAAUAUAUUGAACCGCAUGGUUCAAUAGUGAAAGACGGUUUUGCUGUCACUUAUAGAUGGAUCCGCGCCGCAUUAGCUAGUUGGUAAGGUAACGGCUUACCAAGGCAACGAUGCGUAGCCGACCUGAGAGGGUGAUCGGCCACACUGGAAUUGAGACACGGUCCAGACUCCUACGGGAGGCAGCAGUAGGGAAUCUUCCGCAAUGGGCGAAAGCUUGACGGAGCAACGCCGCGUGAGUGAUGAAGGUCUUCGGAUCGUAAAACUCUGUUAUUAGGGAAGAACAAAUGUGUAAGUAACUAUGCACGUCUUGACGGUACCUAAUCAGAAAGCCACGGCUAACUACGUG
RNAcentral lists this ribosomal RNA (497 nucleotides) under uncultured bacterium. RNAcentral describes it as "partial 16S ribosomal RNA". It matches the Rfam family "Bacterial small subunit ribosomal RNA", at positions 28 to 507 of the family's 1533-position model. The record is from RNAcentral.